This 454-nucleotide ribosomal RNA is filed under the name uncultured Proteiniphilum sp. RNAcentral's name for it is "partial 16S ribosomal RNA". It matches the Rfam family "Bacterial small subunit ribosomal RNA", at positions 341 to 792 of the family's 1533-position model. Lineage: Bacteria; Pseudomonadati; Bacteroidota; Bacteroidia; Bacteroidales; Dysgonomonadaceae. The record is from RNAcentral.
ACGGGAGGCAGCAGUGAGGAAUAUUGGUCAAUGGGCGGAAGCCUGAACCAGCCAAGUCGCGUGAAGGAUGAAGGUAUUAUGUAUUGUAAACUUCUUUAGCAGUGGAGUAAUAAGGAGGUCGAGACCUCCGAUGCAAGUACACUGAGAAUAAGGAUCGGCUAACUCCGUGCCAGCAGCCGCGGUAAUACGGAGGAUCCGAGCGUUAUCCGGAUUUAUUGGGUUUAAAGGGUGCGCAGGCGGGCUGGUAAGUCAGCGGUGAAAUGUCGGGGCUCAACCCCGGCAGUGCCGUUGAUACUGUCGGUCUUGAGUGCGGUGAAGGCAGGCGGAAUGCAGUGUGUAGCGGUGAAAUGCGUAGAUAUGCUGCAGAACUCCGAUAGCGAAGGCAGCUUGCCGUACCUGCACUGACGCUCAUGCACGAAAGCGUGGGGAUCAAACAGGAUUAGAUACCCUGGUA